Non-coding RNA from Thelonectria olida, 83 nucleotides. The record is from the annotation of a GenBank genome assembly. Lineage: Eukaryota; Fungi; Ascomycota; Sordariomycetes; Hypocreales; Nectriaceae.
GGCCCAAUAGUACAAUGGUUAGUACGCCACUUUCCGGAGCAGGAAUUAGGUGGAGAUUCUAGGUUCGAGUCCUAGUUGGGUCG